UACGGAGGGUGCUAGCGUUAAUCGGAUUUAUUGGGCGUAAAGGGCGCGUAGGCGGGGAUGUCAGUCAGACGUGAAAUCCCGGGGCUCAACCCCGGAACUGCAUUUGAAACUACAUCUCUUGAGGAUGGACGGAGAAAACGGAAUUCCGCAUGUAGCGGUGAAAUGCGUAGAUAUGCGGAAGAACACCGGUGGCGAAGGCGGUUUUCUAGUUCAUUCCUGACGCUGAGGCGCGAAAGCUAGGGGAGCAAACAGG
Molecule: unclassified non-coding RNA, 253 nt
Filed under: uncultured Chlamydiales bacterium
Lineage: Bacteria; Pseudomonadati; Chlamydiota; Chlamydiia; Chlamydiales
Description: contains 16S-23S intergenic spacer region
Rfam family: Bacterial small subunit ribosomal RNA
Source: RNAcentral